RNAcentral lists this long non-coding RNA (332 nucleotides) under Prunus persica (peach). RNAcentral describes it as "long non-coding RNA (PPER_LNC001791)". Lineage: Eukaryota; Viridiplantae; Streptophyta; Magnoliopsida; Rosales; Rosaceae. The record is from RNAcentral.
AAGAGAAUCCCAUCAUGAGGAGAAGAACCAUCAACACGUAAGUGUUCAUGAUGUGGUUCAACUGGCCAUUAUCGACAAACUUGCAAGAAUCCGAUUGCACUUCAUCCUACCUCAUAGAUAGAGUGGUGUUAUAUUUUUCUUUUUAACUUUAUGAAUUGUAAUAAAUGAAUAUUUAAGUUUUAUUUUUAAUUUUAAUUUUAUUUUAAUGUAGAUCGUUUUAUUGAAUUUUUUGUUCUGCAGACUACCUCUAAAUGUGUGACAAUUUUUGAAGAAUUAAAGUUAUGUGAAAUAAUUUUAUUUUAUUUUAUUUUUGAGUGAGAGGAGGAAAUUAU